RNAcentral lists this ribosomal RNA (438 nucleotides) under uncultured bacterium. Its description in RNAcentral is "bacterial SSU rRNA". It matches the Rfam family "Bacterial small subunit ribosomal RNA", at positions 954 to 1392 of the family's 1533-position model. The record is from RNAcentral.
GCACAACGCGAAGAACCUUACCAAGGCUUGACAUGCAUCUCUAAGCGCGUGAAAGCGCGUGACCCUUCGGGGAAUUUGCACAGGUGCUGCAUGGCCGUCGUCAGCUCGUGUCGUGAGAUGUUGGGUUAAGUCCCGCAACGAGCGCAACCCCUGUGAUUAGUUGCCAGCGGAUAAUGCCGGGGACUCUAGUCAGACUGCCCAGAUCAACUGGGAGGAAGGUGGGGACGACGUCAGGUCAGUAUGGCCCUUACGCCUUGGGCUGCACACGUACUACAAUGCCCAGUACAAUGAGAACCGAGACCGCGAGGUGGAGGAAAUCUGCAAAACUGGGCCCAGUUCGGAUUGGAGGCUGCAACUCGCCUCCAUGAAGCCGGAAUCGCUAGUAAUGCUGCAUCAGCUACGGCAGCGUGAAUACGUUCCCGGGUCUUGUACACACCG